UUUUCGGAGGGUUUGAUCCUGGCUCAGAGCGAACGCUGGCGGCGUGGAUUAGACAUGCAAGUCGAGCGAUCUGCCUUCGGGUAGAUAGCGGCGAACGGGUGAGUAA
RNAcentral lists this ribosomal RNA (106 nucleotides) under Candidatus Kaelpia aquatica. Its description in RNAcentral is "partial 16S ribosomal RNA". It matches the Rfam family "Bacterial small subunit ribosomal RNA", at positions 1 to 113 of the family's 1533-position model. The record is from RNAcentral. RNAcentral also lists the same sequence under 1 other name. Lineage: Bacteria; Pseudomonadati; Candidatus Omnitrophota.